This 500-nucleotide ribosomal RNA is filed under the name uncultured bacterium. RNAcentral's name for it is "partial 16S ribosomal RNA". It matches the Rfam family "Bacterial small subunit ribosomal RNA", at positions 30 to 523 of the family's 1533-position model. The record is from RNAcentral.
AUUGAACGCUAGCGGGAUGCCUUACACAUGCAAGUCGAACGGCAGCGCGGACUUCGGUCUGGCGGCGAGUGGCGAACGGGUGAGUAAUGUAUCGGAACGUGCCCAGUAGCGGGGGAUAACUACUCGAAAGAGUAGCUAAUACCGCAUACGCCCUACGGGGGAGAGGGGGGGAUCGCAGGACCUCUCACUAUUGGAGCGGCCGAUAUCGGAUUAGCUAGUUGGUGAGGUAAAGGCUCACCAAGGCGACGAUCCGUAGCUGGUUUGAGAGGACGACCAGCCACACUGGGACGGAGACACGGCCCAGACUCCUACGGGAGGCAGCAGUGGGGAAUUUUGGACAAUGGGGGAAACCCUGAUCCAGCCAUUCCGCGUGUGCGAUGAAGGCCUUCGGGUUGUAAAGCACUUUUGGCAGGAAAGAAAUCGCAUGGAUUAAUACUCUGUGUGGAUGACGGUACCUGCAGAAUAAGCACCGGCUAACUACGUGCCAGCCGCCGCGGUAA